RNAcentral lists this ribosomal RNA (497 nucleotides) under uncultured bacterium. RNAcentral describes it as "partial 16S ribosomal RNA". It matches the Rfam family "Bacterial small subunit ribosomal RNA", at positions 28 to 507 of the family's 1533-position model. The record is from RNAcentral.
GAUGAACGCUGGCGGCGUGCCUAAUACAUGCAAGUCGAGCGAACGGACGAGAAGCUUGCUUUUCUGAUGUUAGCGGCGGACGGGUGAGUAACACGUGGAUAACCUACCUAUAAGACUGGGAUAACUUCGGGAAACCGGAGCUAAUACCGGAUAAUAUUUUGAACCGCAUGGUUCAAAAGUGAAAGACGGUCUUGCUGUCACUUAUAGAUGGAUCCGCGCUGCAUUAGCUAGUUGGUAAGGUAACGGCUUACCAAGGCAACGAUGCAUAGCCGACCUGAAAGGGUGAUCGGCCACACUGGAACUGAGACACGGUCCAGACUCCUACGGGAGGCAGCAGUAGGGAAUCUUCCGCAAUGGGCGAAAGCCUGACGGAGCAACGCCGCGUGAGUGAUGAAGGUCUUCGGAUCGUAAAACUCUGUUAUUAGGGAAGAACAUAUGUGUAAGUAACUGUGCACAUCUUGACGGUACCUAAUCAGAAAGCCACGGCUAACUACGUG